This 421-nucleotide ribosomal RNA is filed under the name Theileria sp. RNAcentral describes it as "SSU rRNA". It matches the Rfam family "Eukaryotic small subunit ribosomal RNA", at positions 440 to 901 of the family's 1831-position model. The record is from RNAcentral. RNAcentral also lists the same sequence under 1 other name. Lineage: Eukaryota; Apicomplexa; Aconoidasida; Piroplasmida; Theileriidae.
AUUACCCAAUCCUGACACAGGGAGGUAGUGACAAGAAAUAACAAUACGGGGCUUAAUGUCUUGUAAUUGGAAUGAUGGGAAUUUAAACCUCUUCCAGAGUAUCAAUUGGAGGGCAAGUCUGGUGCCAGCAGCCGCGGUAAUUCCAGCUCCAAUAGCGUAUAUUAAAAUUGUUGCAGUUAAAAAGCUCGUAGUUGAAUUUCUGCUGCAUCGUCGCAUCUCUUGCUGAGUGCUUCGUUUCGGCUUAUUUCGGAUUGAUUUUUUCUUUCCGGAUGAUUACUUUGAGAAAAUUAGAGUGCUCAAAGCAGGCUUUUGCCUUGAAUAGUUUAGCAUGGAAUAAUAAAGUAGGACUUUGGUUCUAUUUUGUUGGUUUUAGGUACCAAAGUAAUGGUUAAUAGGAACAGUUGGGGGCAUUCGUAUUUAA